GCCCGGGUGGCGGAAUUGGUAGACGCACCGGACUCAAAAUCCGGCGGUAGUGAUACUGUGCGAGUUCGAGUCUCGCCCCGGGCACCA
Molecule: transfer RNA, 87 nt
Filed under: Limibacillus halophilus
Lineage: Bacteria; Pseudomonadati; Pseudomonadota; Alphaproteobacteria; Rhodospirillales; Rhodovibrionaceae
Also listed under: 1 other name
Description: tRNA-Leu
Rfam family: tRNA
About the family: Transfer RNA (tRNA) molecules are approximately 80 nucleotides in length.
Source: RNAcentral